Molecule: long non-coding RNA, 1659 nt
Organism: Hemicordylus capensis (graceful crag lizard)
Lineage: Eukaryota; Metazoa; Chordata; Lepidosauria; Squamata; Cordylidae
Exons: 3
Source: RefSeq, a predicted model, not a curated record
UACCACAGGAGAUAAAUUAAUUCACCUUACUGUCUCUAACGCAGCAGUAAUAAUACUUUAUUAACCAUGGAUAAAGUUGAGCUGGCUUAUUCUUUUUUUUUUUUUUAAUACACUUUCCAAUGAUUUCUGGUUUCAUUACUAGAAUAUCUUUAUGAUUAAGAAAAAUUCUUGAAGAAUAAAAACAACUGUCUUUAAUUAACUGCAUGCAAAUGCAAAGUGGUGGGUUUUUUUGUUUUUUUAAAAAGGCAACCUGUUGGAUUACUUUAAGCUUGUUGUUGUUUUAUAAUCUCUUUUAAAUGUUCUAACAGUGUGUCUGAAACAUGAGAAAUUGUCCUGCAGCUACACACAGUUCUCUUAAUAAUGUUUAACAUUAGGGGGCUAAAGGGUGCAACCACUAAGAACUGAACUCAGCAGCGUGUGUUGGAUUGCUGCCAAAAUUCAUAUUUGCAGCAGUGUAUCAACAUUAUUAAAAGCAACAUCACACACAGGCUACUUUUACAUGCAUCCAUUAAAAGGCAUGGUAGGCUAGGAAAAACUGAUGCUGAGUGAACACUGUGGGGGAUCUGUUAAUAUAAUGCUCCCAAAGCUGACUGAGCAUCUGACCCAGAGGGGUUCCAGGUCAGUAAGUCAGGAACAUGACUUGCUUCUUGACUUCCUCUGCACAUUGUGUUUGACUUCCACCGAAAUUCCUCAUACAAAUCUAAAUCUCCCUGUAUAUAUUACACUCUUUCCUCCACUGAACUGUUCUUUGCAUCUGUUGCUGUGCACUGUAGAUUAUCUACUGCAUUCUACAACAGUUAGCAGAAUUCAUAGGGCGAACAACAGAAGGCUACGAGGGGGCUCCUACUAUAUAUAUUUUAUUUUCUUAGGACACGGCGCGUUGUGGAUUACAUCAUGUCAGGACUGGGUUUUUAGGAGUCAGGAAGAAGGUAGUACAUCAACGCCCUAGUUUUGGAUGGGCCCUUAAUGCUUGAUUUUUGCUGUACUGAGUGUCAUUACUUUUAUUUUAUUUAUUUAUUUGAUUGAUUUCUAUACUGGCCUUCUAAAAUGGCUCAGGGUGGUUUACAUCAAAACAAAACUAAAAUCAAUUAACUAUUAAAAUCAAAAACUGUAAAAACAUAAAACCAUUAUUAAAACAAUUAAAACAGUUUUUAAAACCCUGGAAAACCAGGCUGAACCUUUAUGGUUUAAAAAACAAUUUAAAACCCUGCAAGGCCAGGACAAGCAGAUAGAUCUUAAGGGCUCUCCUGAAGGCCAAUAAUGAACUCAUAUUACGGAUUUCUGCAGGGAGUGCAUUCCACAGCCCAGGAGCAGCUACAGAGAAGGCCCACCUCUGAGUCACCACCAGACGUGUUGGUGGUAACUGAAGAUGGACCUCCUCAGAUGACCUUAAAGUGCGGUGGGGAUCGUGCAGAAGAAGAGGCCCUUUUAAAAACUGGCUGCUGGCACAGGAUGAUGAAUUCGCUCUGUCCUGGAUAUCUGAUCCAACAAGGUUGGGUUUAUUUAACCUACUCACCUUCAUUUGUUAGGAAUCCAGUCAGAUGGCCCCUGGCACAGCUGCGGACAAGGUUCACAACCCUUCAUUUUGGAUGAAGUUCCAUUUUGACAACAUCCUUGAGUGUGCAGAGGACUGCAGAGCUGAUCUAGCCGAGACACAUU